GACGAACGCUGGCGGCGUGCUUAACACAUGCAAGUCGAACGAGAGCGUAGAGAAAGCUUGCUUUUUCUACAAUCUAGUGGCAAACGGGUGAGUAACGCGUAAACAACCUGCCCUACGGAUGGGGACAACAGCUGGAAACGGCUGCUAAUACCGAAUACGUUCCGAAAGUCGCAUGACUAUCGGAAGAAAGGAUGGCCUCUAUUUAUAAGCUAUCGCCGGAGGAGGGGUUUGCGUCUGAUUAGCUAGUUGGAGGGGUAACGGCCCACCAAGGCGACGAGCAGUAGCCGGUCUGAGAGGAUGAACGGCCACAUUGGAACUGAGACACGGUCCAGACUCCUACGGGAGGCAGCAGUGGGGAAUCUUCCGCAAUGGGCGAAAGCCUGACGGAGCAACGCCGCGUGAGUGAAGACGGCCUUCGGGUUGUAAAGCUCUGUUAUACGGGACGAAUAAUCUUGUGGUUAAUACCCAUGAGAAGUGACGGUACCGUAAGAGAAAGCCACGGCUAACUACGUG
Molecule: ribosomal RNA, 513 nt
Filed under: uncultured bacterium
Lineage: Bacteria
Description: partial 16S ribosomal RNA
Rfam family: Bacterial small subunit ribosomal RNA
Source: RNAcentral